RNAcentral lists this ribosomal RNA (372 nucleotides) under uncultured organism. Its description in RNAcentral is "bacterial SSU rRNA". It matches the Rfam family "Bacterial small subunit ribosomal RNA", at positions 526 to 896 of the family's 1533-position model. The record is from RNAcentral.
CAGAGGGUGCAAGCGUUGCUCGGAUUUACUGGGCGUAAAGCGUACGCAGACGGUGAGAAAGGUCGGAUGUGAAAGCCCCGGGCUCAACCCGGGAACUGCAUCCGAAACCAUUUCGCUAGAGUAUGGGAGAGGGAAGCAGAAUUCCUGGUGUAGAGGUGAAAUUCGUAGAUAUCAGGAGGAAUACCUGCGGCGAAGGCGGCUUCCUGGCCCAUUACUGACGUUCAGGUACGAAAGCGUGGGUAGCAAACAGGAUUAGAUACCCUGGUAGUCCACGCUGUAAACGAUGUGUGCUGGAUGUCGGGGGUAUUCACCCCCUCGGUAUCGAAGCUAACGCGAUAAGCACACCGCCUGGGGAGUACGGCCGCAAGGUUG